RNAcentral lists this long non-coding RNA (1250 nucleotides) under Heterocephalus glaber (naked mole-rat). RNAcentral's name for it is "lncRNA (ENSHGLG00100050983.1)". The record is from RNAcentral. Lineage: Eukaryota; Metazoa; Chordata; Mammalia; Rodentia; Bathyergidae.
CGAGGAUGAUCGGACAGGACGGUCCGGCCUUGGUCGCCCACGUGGGCUUGGCCAGCGAGCCAGCUGGGCCCAGCAUCGGACAGCAGGUGACACUCCAGGUCGCCCGCCAGGUUGGCGAGCGGCGGGCACCCAGGAGGCCCCAAGGACCCGCCCCGCUCCGGGAGAAGGCGGACGAGGCCCUGGGCUUAGACUUCUGGGCUGCUCCCGUACACAGCGGGUGCUCACUAAGUGCAGGUCGCCAAGGACCGCGGGCCGUGUCUCCCCUCAUCAGAAAACAACCAGGCACUUUCCGACCUCAGGGCCUCUGCUCAGUGGCUCCUCCGCUGGAUCACUGCCCCCGGAUUCUUGCCUCGGCCUCGGACCGCACCUCCUCCGUCUGGUUCAGGCUUCAUGAUUGCUUUAUUAGAAAGUUCUUUGCUUGCUGGGUGUGGUGCACGCCUGUGAUCCCAGCACUCUGGGAGGCUGAGGCAGGAGGAUCACAAGUUCAAGCCCAUCCUGGGCAAUUUAGCAACUUAGCAAGACCCUGUCUCAAAAUUAGAUAAAGGGCUGGGGAUGCAGCUCAGUGUGAGCCCUGGGUUCAAUCCCAGUACCGCAAAAAAACAAAAAUUUUGGCCGGGGAUGGAGCUCAGUGGUUUCACCGCCUGCUGCGCAAGCGCAAGGACCCGAGUUCGAUCCCCGGUACCAAAAAAAUAAAAAUAAAAUAAAAUAAAAAAUUUUUAUUUCUCUUUUGAAAACUGCUCACCGUCCAGUGCCCUCCUCCCUUGUCUUCCCUGACCCUGCUAGGGCCAUCAGGUCCACCGGGUCUGUGUCCAGAGCGCCCCCCACGUCCCCAUCCCAGCAGAGGUCCCAGCUGGUACCAAGCAGCCUCUUCCCAGGGGUCUGUUCCGCCCAGGGGACAGCACGGCGGCCACGGGUGCCAGCCCACAGUGCCAAUGGGGCAGAGCCAGGGGACGGUGUGCCCGACCUGGCCGCUGGAGAGAGGGGUCUGGGGAGGCGCAUGGGGCGGGAGCCCAGGCUCCAGCUCCCCACGCAGGCCAGCCCGCUCGCCUGUGGUCCGGGGCGCAGGGCUAUGAGAAGGGGACUCCAGGGACGGCUGUGUGCGCGGCCAGAGCAGGGGAGACGGGGCCAGGCUCAGCUCAGCCACACCCGCCCUCACAGGCCCGGGUCCUGGCAGGCGCCCUCCCCCAGCCUGGUGGGCCUGCCGCUGUUCAGCACAGGGCGCUGCGGUGUCAGAGACGGCCUUUCUGGUG